Molecule: ribosomal RNA, 253 nt
Filed under: uncultured bacterium
Lineage: Bacteria
Description: partial 16S ribosomal RNA
Rfam family: Bacterial small subunit ribosomal RNA
Source: RNAcentral
UACGGAGGGUGCAAGCGUUGUUCGGAAUUACUGGGCGUAAAGGGCGCGCAGGCGGUUGUGCAAGUCAGUUGUGAAAUCCCCCGGCUUAACCGGGGAACUGCAUCUGAAACUGCAUGACUCGAGUACAGAAGAGGGAAACGGAAUUCCCGGUGUAGAGGUGAAAUUCGUAGAUAUCGGGAGGAACACCAGUGGCGAAGGCGGUUUCCUGGUCUGAUACUGACGCUGAGGCGCGAAAGCGUGGGGAGCAAACAGG